RNAcentral lists this long non-coding RNA (8234 nucleotides) under Lactuca sativa (garden lettuce). RNAcentral describes it as "long non-coding RNA (LSAT_LNC008749)". Lineage: Eukaryota; Viridiplantae; Streptophyta; Magnoliopsida; Asterales; Asteraceae. The record is from RNAcentral.
AACACCAUCUCCCCCAUAGGCUGCAAUGGCAAAAUAUCCUCAGGCCAUGUUGUAACAAUUGGUAAAAAUAGGAACGAUCGUGCGAUGCAAUGUUUUGAUUAUUAAGAAACAUGAGUAUUUUAUCAAGAAUGUUUGAAGGAAUUUAACCUCUUUUAUUUAAAUAAGUUAUUGUGAAAUAUAAAACAAGUAACUAUUGAUAAAUUUCGUUAUGAUGUAUGACUACGAACUAUCACCGGUUUGUGAAAUUAGCAUAUAACAACAUUUAAAUGCAACAAACUUAAUUUUUGUAUCAACAUGUCUCUAGUUUAUAAGUAAGUUAGGUUCUAUGUAAAAUGUUUUCUUAGUAGAUGUGAAGGAUCUAAAUUUGACAAAUAUACGAACCAAAGUGACAAAACGUGUUUAACGAUAUGGUUAACCGGUUAAAUGUCACGAAAUUAUACAUUGGUCAGUAAAUUUUAUAUUUAAAUAAAUAAAAAUAUAAAAUGAAUUAUUAUAAGGUAUAAUUAGAAUGUAUUUAAGUGUUUUUGAAUAAAAAGAAUAAAACAUAAACAUUAAACUUCAAACACACAAAAACUACCUUGUUAUUUUAUACUAAGUAUACAUGUAUGUAUUUGUACAUAUGUAUUAUUAUCUAGUGAAUGACUAGUAAUGGGUCAUGAUUUAAGUGAUUUCAUGUAAAUAAUAUGAUUUCUAAAUCAAUUAAGAUAAGAUAAUUGGUGGAGAUAUGUGCCAACUUAACUAAUAAGUGCUUAAUCACUUAAGACAUUUUACUAAGAAUGCUUAUUAAUCCCUCUUCUAAUUUUCGAGAUUAAGACCUUCCCUCUCCUUAACUAGAACUCCUAACUAACUAAAUAACUAGUAGUUAGUUAGUUAACUAACUCUAUCUCUAAGCAACCACCCAAGCAAGUGGCUAGACAAGAUCACAUCACUUAAACUCACAUCCCAUCACAAGCUAGUCUAGGUUUUGUCCCCUUAUCCUCUUCCACUCUUUCCUCCUUCAUAUCCACGAAAUUUCCUCUUCAUUUUACCCUCAUUUGACCAGCCAUUACUAUAGGGAAUUACUCUCAACCUUCAUCUCAUUUUCAAGCACAAAAAUUUCCUUCCAAAGCCAUCAAAACCAUGAACUAAAGGGUUGCUGUCCCUUUUAUGUUUCAGCCACCAUUUCACCCAUCUACACCUUCCUUUUGCUUGAUAUUUUUACCACCAAAUACCCCUGGGAGUUAGUUGUUAGUCUACUCAAAAUUAUAGAUUCAAUACAGUGAGUAAACUACCCUUUUUCUUACUCUUUUGCUUUGAAGUUUUCGUGACAGCAACAUAGCCAAAAUAGUGGCUGUUUUGGAGCAUCGAACCAAAACCCAAAAGUUCUUCAUCUUCAACCUUCCAUUCUUCAAUUAUUCAAAUAAGGUGAAUUCAUACCCCUAUAUUUUCAUGUUUUCUUCAAGUUUUAAGUGGGGGAAUACAAGUUAGAACACUAAACAUAACUUAAAUUUAAAUGACAACUUUCUACAGAAACGUUGAGUCCUGUUCAUGGGCUGUUUUGACCAUCUUAAACUUAAUAUAUUUCAAAACUGUAGAAUAUGAAAAUAGUUCAUGUUUUUAACUUUCUAAGGACUACUCGCACACAUUCAUACGAUUUUUCUACAAUUUAUGGCGAUUUUUAUAAAACUGUCUGUCAUUUCAGACCAGUCUGUGAAGAUGUUCAUUUUCACACUAGUUUGAGAGCACUAAAAAUCAUAAUAAAAAUUAGGAACAAAGUAGACUUAUUUUAUAAACUCUCAGAGGUGACGGAUUCAGUUUUUGACUUACGAUGAUUUUUCUAUGAGUUUUCUAAAAACAGGGACAGUAAAGGGUAAAACUGUCAAAAGUGGUUUAUAGAUUUAUUAACACCUUCUAACAUUUUUGAGCAAUGUUUAUACAUUAAGGAAGUUAAAACACAAUCAUUUAAAUAUGUUUAAUUACCAUUUUUACAAAAGUGAUAAGUACAAAAAGGUCUUUAGUAUCAAACUUAAGGAUUAUUUCAUGCAAAGUUUCUAAUAAAAACGUAAGAAUAUGAACAACAAUUACAAAACAUACCAAAUCAUCUUUUAAAAUUUAUACAUAUAUAUAACCAUAUACAUAUAUAUGUUUUGUUUACAAANUAUGUGCUUUGUUCACAAACUUGUCUUCUACAUCAAAAAUAUACCUAUAUAGUUUUACGAGAACAUCACGAACUGUUACAUACUAGAAACACUAUUUCAAGAAGUUUACUUUCACCUAUAAGAACAAACGAACAUUUUCACAAGUAAAUCUGUUUUUAUACUAAGUUUUGUGAGACAUUAACUUCACGUGCGUUCGAGUACACAUUUCAAGUCCUGUAUUAUAUACCAGAAUCCCUUGGAGGGGGAGCAUGGUGUUUGUGUAUAGAUCUAUACCGAUUGACAACCCCGCGCCCUGACUGUUAGCUACAGUACACCAUUUGGGGUGACAAACGUCAGAACUUUCCAACGCCUGAAGAAUGUUGUGUAUAGGCAAUUCCAGUCAAUAGCAUGGUUAUAAAACUCACAUGGAGUAUUAAAAACACAUUGAUUUACGGGGUUUUUCAUACGUAUUGGAAAUUUUAUAUGUGCAUACAUUUUCUAGAAACAAACAUUGGUCUUGAUAGAAGGCUACAUUUAUGCUAGUAGAAAAUAUGUGAUUUUCUAGGAACAAACAAACAAAAACAAAACAUUUCAUUUCAUACAAAGAUUUUCAUUUAAUACUUAUGAAACUCACCAGUUUAAAUGUUGAUCUACUCUUUCAAAACUACUUGUAUGUCCCAGGGAUUCAGUAAUUACAUGUAACAAACAGCUUUUGAAGAAAGGACGCUGUGGCGCCAGUUUAAAUUCAUGUUUUUGGCAUCAUAUUGUAAUUGGUUUUGAACAUGUACCUUUUAACAAUGUAAACUUUCAAUUAUAUAUAUGAUGGUUGUAUUGCUUUCUUCUUAUGUAUUCAUUUGUUAUGUUACCACAUGAAGUCAUCCGCCCCAAACGUUUCCGCCGUUCCGGUUUGGGGGUGUGACAAAUUGGUAUCAGAGCAUUGUUUAUAGUGUGCUAAGUAUAUCAAACCACAUAAGAUAUAUACAAACUAUAAAUACAUAGGGGCUAAAACUCUCUGACUUAACAAUUUCAAAACAGGAACAUUAGGGGUCCUUUGCUGAUAAGUCUAUGUUUGCUAAGUGUAUACGUUAAGGUGGUAUAUACUAAAAGUUUUAUAGACAUAGAAUUUGUGAUUUUCACUUUACUUCCUUUUCCUUGUUUGGAUGUAGAUAUAAGGUAAGAUCACUUAUUCGACUGGCUAUUUAAUCUUGAUUGUAUAUGACCUGUAUACACAAGGCAACCAUAGAAGGACCAGGAAUGGACCGAGAUUUCAUGAAAAAUGUAAGUGCAUACAAACAUACUAGUAAGGAGUCAUAUUGGCAACAAAACAAAAAGUAUUAAGAUAAGUUAAACACUGCGAGUAAGCCUCGGGGUAUGUAAUCAUGUCUGGGAUGAAUAUAGCCUGAUCAACUAUAUUUAUCCAAGAGGUGACCAACGUAUGCCGAGGAAUGGUCGUAGUGGAUGACGAGUCUAAAACUUACCAACAAACCAUACAAAGAAAACUUUAACAUACAAAUUUAAAAUACUAUAGGAGUAUUUUGCGUUACAAUAGAACCACACACUUAGAUUCUUCAUAUGCUUCUUACCCCUAUUAUCGCAUAGGCAUAUCAGCUAGACUUCAUCUCCACAUAAACCCCUACUAUCCUGCCACCGAAGCCAAUUGAUGGAUCAAGAAGGAUCCAGAAGAAGAUUUCGAAGAGUACUAAUAGAUGAAAUACAAGGAAGAAGAUUUCCGAGAAGGGACCAGAUGGAGAAAGAAGUUCGGGAGAUACCGUCAAUAAACCUUACCCUAUCAAGUGGAGUGUGAGAACCUCCACCUCUCAUUUCAGGAAGCAACCCGCAAUUAACUACCUAGCCACACAUAUAGACUGGAGAUGACAACCGAUGAUCCACAACCGACAUAAACUCACUGCACCGUACUUCGGGCCAUAGCACCCAUAGACCGAUAAACAGAUCAAGAGAACAAUACAGAUCACCUACACUCCUUAGAAAAGGAGAUAGUCGUUAUAGGACAAAGAACCCUUACAGCUACAACCUGGACAAUCAUCACAGAAAUGAGAACAGAGGAGGCCACUCACGAAAUAGAAUCAUGCCGACACAUGAAGGUAAUCAGCAUACUGGUGCAACACUAGUUCUAUAAAUACACCCUACAACAUUUCAAAUUGUGGUAACAGCCGCCGUAACAGCAGUCAUGGCACACCUCGGCGCUAACAACACAAACAAAAGAGGGAACGGCGCCGAAAGUUCCAAUUGUAAUAACAACCAGGGACACCCCGAGUAUGUUCCUGCAAUGACGCCCAAGGACCUACCAAAAAGACAACAAACAGUGACAUUCCAUACCACCACCAUCCCUACUACCUCAGUGUCGACAAGACCAUAUGUUGGAAACCUACCAAAAUGCACCAAGUGUAUCUUUCAUCACAAAGGAAUGUGAAGGGAAAUGCACUGCAAGGACUGUAAUGAAAAUGGGCAUACCACAAAUUUCUGUAGGGUGUCGGCUCAACAAACCGCCCAGAACACAAAAGCUGGGAUGAGUCGGACUUGCUACAGAUGUGGAGAAGUAGGGCAUUUCAUAAAGGAUUUCCCGGAGACUAAAAACAAAGAUGUCAGGAGCGUCGGAAGUGUUUUAGCAAUAGAGCGUGGGAAAGCAGUAAUAGACCCCGCUGAGAUUCCGGUACGUUCAUUCCCGAUAGAAAAUAUGCAUGGAUACUAUAUAAUAGCAACGCGGAGAGGAGUAUUGUGAGUCGAAGAUUUAAUCAAUUUCUCAACCAAAAACCUGAAAAACUUAAACGAAAUAUUUACAGUAGAAUUGGAAUAAUCAAAAGCACUAGAGACGUGUACAUAGGGUGCACUCUAACACUAAAUCAACCAAUUCGUUCAAAUCAUCCUAAAACCGGUCACAAUAAAAAUUUACGACAUUUUCAUUUUAACAAUGUAUUAGUUAGUUUCCUCACCGUACCGAUAUAAUAUAUUACAAAAAGGCCAUUCGCCUAAAACCAUCGAGUAAUAGAACCCUCGUUGUCUAUGGUGACAAACCGGACACAAACCCCCGACUCACCUUUUACAACAAGACUCAGAAGUACCUACACAGGAGGUACCACGCCGUCCUAGCCCGUGCUGUGGAUAAGAAACAAGAAGAGAAAGACAUCAUGGAUGUUGAAAAAGCCCGUAACCUUCUCGAUAUAUUCCGAGAAGAUCUCCUGGGAAUACCAUCCAUACGGCAACCCGAGUUCAAAAAUCAACCUAAGUGUAGUAGUUGNAGGGUUGUUGUAAAUGCCAUCUCACCCAAGUUAAUCACCCCACUCAAGUAGAGACUAUGGACCCAUACUAGUGAAUCUAUGAUUACUAAGUGUAUAUAUUGGAGCCCUAUAUAAUUAAGAUUCUACGGACUUAGGGUUGGUAAUUCCGCUUUAAAUCCUUUUCCUUGUUUGGAUGUGGGCUUAGAAUAGAAUCACCGAUUCGACUGUCUUUUCAAUCUUAAUUAUAUACGACUUAUAAACACAAAGAGAUAAUAGAUGAAUCAGUUAUGAGUCAUACCAUGAACUCCAUGACAAGUUACCCAGGACAGUGGAUGGACAUGCUACCACUUGAGCGAUCGUAGAUAAAUCAACCAAACCCACACACUUUCUACCGACCAAGGAUACAAAGAAAAAUAGAAAAGAUGACAGGAGCAUAUUACAAGAAAAUUGUGAGACUGCAUAGUAUACCACUAUCAAUCAUUUUGGAUAAGGGGACAGGCGAUUCGCCUCGUGUUUUCAAUAGUCGUUAAAGAAGUCCUUUUUAUCACCCUCAAACUGAAAGGCAAAGAGGAAGAACCAUUCAUCGAAUCCUUAUACAACAUUAACUAUUACAUUAACAUCAAAGUCGCGUCAUUCGAAGCUCUCUGCAGAAGCAAGUGUAGAUCACCUCUUUGAUGGGAUGAGGUAGGUGACACACAAAUAGCUAUCAGGCAAGUUCCUAACAACACUCUCACUAGCCCCCAGAUCAUACGAGAAACUACAGAGAAGAUUGUUCAAACCCGUGAACGAUUGAAGGCAUCCCAGGAUCGGAAGAAGAGCUUGUCUGAUGAGACUCUUGUUAUUCCACUGGAUGAAAUUGAAAUCAACGGGAUUCUAAACUUCAUCGAAGAACCGGUGGAAAUCAUGGAUCAGGAGGUCAAAAGGACGAAACAAAGCCGCAUACNAAGGCUCGUUGGAACGCCAAGCGAGGACCGAAAUUCACUAAGGAAUGCGAGGAUCAAAUAAAAAAAAACACCCCCAAUUUUUUAGUGAUAUCUACAAGUUGAAUUUCGGGGCGAAAUUCUUUUAACGGAGGGAGAAUGUAACAAUUGGUAAAAAUAGGAACGAUCGUGCGAUGCAAUGUUUUGAUUAUUAAGCAAUAUGAGUAUUUUAUCAAGAAUAGUUGAAGGAAUUUAACCUCUUUUAUAUAAAUUAGUUAUUGUGAAAUAUAAAACAAGUAACUAUUGAUAAAUUUCGUUAUGAUGUAUGACUACGAACCAUCACCGGUUUGUGAAAUUAGCAUAUAACAUCAUUUAAACGCAACAAACUUAAUUUUUGUAUCAACAUGUCUCUAGUUUAUAAGUAAGUUAGGUUCUAUGUAAAACGUUUUCUUAGUAGAUGUGAAGGAUCUAAAUUUGACAAAUAUAUGAACCAAAGUGAUAAAACGUGUUUAACGAUAUGGUUAACCGGUUAAAUGUCACGAAAUUAUACAUUGGUCGGUAAAUUUUAUAUUUAAAUAAAUAAAAAUAUAAAAUGAAUUAUUAUAAGGUAUAAUUAGAAUGUAUUUAAGUGUUUUUGAAUAAAAAGAAUAAAACAUAAACAUUAAAGUUCAAAUACACAAAAACUACAUUGUUAUUUUAUACUAAGUAUACAUGUAUGUAUUUGUAUAUAUGUAUUAUUAUCUAGUGAAUGACUAGUUAUAAGUCAUGAAUUAAAAUGAUUUCAUGUAAGUUUUAUGAUGUCUAAAUCAAUUAAGAUAAGAGAAUUGGUGGAGAUAAGUGCCAACUUAACUAAUAAGUGCUUAAUCACUUAAGACAUUUUACUAAGAAUGCUUAUUAAUCCCUCUUCUAAUUUUCGAGAUUAAGACCUUCCCUCUCCUUAACUAGAACUCCUAACUAACUAAAUAACUAGUAGUUAGUUAGUUAACUAACUCUAUCUCUAAGCAACCACCCAAGCAAGUGGCUAGACAAGAUCACAUCACUUAAACUCACAUCCCAUCACAAGCUAGUCUAGGUUUUGUCCCCUUAUCCUCUUCCACCCUUUCCUCCUUCAUAACCACGAAAUUUCCUCUUCAUUUUACCCUCAUUUGACCAGCCAAUUAUACUCUAGGGAAUAACUCUCAACCUUCAUCUCAUUUUCAAGCACAAGAAUUUCCUUCCAAAGCCAUCAAAACCAUGAACUAAAGGGUUGCUGUCCCUUUUGUGUUUCAGCCACCAUUUCACCCAUCUACACCUUCUGUUUGCUUGAUAUUUUUACCACCAAAUACCCCUGGUAGUUAGUUGUUAGGAUACUCAAAAUUAUAGAUUCAAAACAGUGAGUAAACUACCCUUUUUCUUACUCUUUUGCUGUGAAGUUUUCGUGAAAGCAACGUAGCCAAAACAGUGGCUGUUUAGGAGCAUCAAACCAACACCCAAAAGUUCUUCAUCUUCAACCUUCCAUUCUUCAAGUAUUCACAUAAGGUGAGUUCAUACCCCUACAUUUUCAUGUUUUCUUCAAGUUUUAAGGGGGGGAAUACAAGUUAGAACACUAAACAUAACUUAAAUUUAAAUGACAGCUUUCUACAGAAAAGUUGAGUCCUGUUCACGGACUGUUUUGACCAUCUUAAACUUAAUAUCUUUCAAAACUGUACAAUAUGCAAAUAGUUCAAGUUUAUAAAUUUCUAAGGACUACUAGCACGCGUUCAUACGAUUUUUCUACAAUUUAUGGCAAUUUUUAUAAAACUGGCUGUCAUUUCAGAAGUGAUUUCGGACCAGUCUGUGAAGAUGUUCAUUUUCACACUAGUUUGAGACCACUAAAAAUCAUAAUAAAAAUUAGGAACAAAGUAGACUCAUUUUAUAAACUCUCAGAGGUGACGGAUUCAGUUUUUGACUUACGAGGAUUUUUCUAUGAGUUUUCUAAAAAC